GACGAACGCUGGCGGCGUGCUUAACACAUGCAAGUCGAACGGUAAGGCCCUUCGGGGUACACGAGUGGCGAACGGGUGAGUAACACGUGGGUGAUCUGCCCUGCACUUCGGGAUAAGCCUGGGAAACUGGGUCUAAUACCGGAUAGGACCACUGCCUGCAUGGGUGGUGGUGGAAAGCUUUUGCGGUGUGGGAUGGGCCCGCGGCCUAUCAGCUUGUUGGUGGGGUGAUGGCCUACCAAGGCGACGACGGGUAGCCGGCCUGAGAGGGUGACCGGCCACACUGGGACUGAGAUACGGCCCAGACUCCGCCGGGAGGCAGCAGUGGGGAAUAUUGCACAAUGGGCGCAAGCCUGAUGCAGCAACGCCGCGUGAGGGACGACGGCCUUCGGGUUGUAAACCUCUUUCAGCACCGACGAAGCGCAAGUGACGGUAGGUGCAGAAGAAGGACCGGCCAACUACGUGCCAGCAGCCGCCGUAA
RNAcentral lists this ribosomal RNA (478 nucleotides) under uncultured bacterium. RNAcentral describes it as "partial 16S ribosomal RNA". It matches the Rfam family "Bacterial small subunit ribosomal RNA", at positions 28 to 523 of the family's 1533-position model. The record is from RNAcentral.